RNAcentral lists this long non-coding RNA (219 nucleotides) under Olea europaea subsp. europaea. Lineage: Eukaryota; Viridiplantae; Streptophyta; Magnoliopsida; Lamiales; Oleaceae. The record is from RNAcentral.
CCUGAUGACCUUGGGCUUGCAUGAGAACAUGCAUCGCUAUAUUCUGAGAUGCGAUGUCUCUCAUGCCCGCCGCUAUUUGAGCCAUCCCUUUAGUGAGCAUGACUGUUCUUGUACCUCGGUGAUAUCGGUGAAUGGGUCUCUGGUGAGUGACAUUGUUAUGGAGCACCUCUUCUUCAGAAGCCUCUCUCAUGGGAUUGUCAUCUUCAUGGCUGGAACUCA